UGGGGAAUUUUGGACAAUGGGGGAAACCCUGAUCCAGCCAUCCCGCGUGUGCGAUGAAGGCCUUCGGGUUGUAAAGCACUUUUGGCAGGAAAGAAACGUCGCGGGUUAAUACCCCGCGAAACUGACGGUACCUGCAGAAUAAGCACCGGCUAACUACGUGCCAGCAGCCGCGGUAAUACGUAGGGUGCAAGCGUUAAUCGGAAUUACUGGGCGUAAAGCGUGCGCAGGCGGUUCGGAAAGAAAGAUGUGAAAUCCCAGAGCUUAACUUUGGAACUGCAUUUUUAACUACCGGGCUAGAGUGCGUCAGAGGGAGGUGGAAUUCCGCGUGUAGCAGUGAAAUGCGUAGAUAUGCGGAGGAACACCGAUGGCGAAGGCAGCCUCCUGGGAUAACACUGACGCUCAUGCACGAAAGCGUGGGGAGCAAACAGGAUUAGAUACCCUGGUAGUCCACGCCCUAAAACGAUGUCAACUAGCUGUUGAGGCCUUCGGGCCUUGGUAGCGCAGCUAACGCGUGAAGUUGACCGCCUGGGGAGUACGGUC
This 540-nucleotide ribosomal RNA is filed under the name uncultured bacterium. RNAcentral's name for it is "partial 16S ribosomal RNA". It matches the Rfam family "Bacterial small subunit ribosomal RNA", at positions 355 to 887 of the family's 1533-position model. The record is from RNAcentral.